ACGUAACAUAAGAGAUGACCAACUUUCAUCUUUUACAGUGCGUUUCUUCCGUCUGGCCAAUCAUAAGGCUGAAUUUUGUUCUGUCACUCAAAGUGGACCCGCCCCGCCCCCUCAUUCCUUGUGUUGUGUAAAAAGUUGAUUGUCAACAUAUUCGAAUUUUGUUAAUUAUUUGUUAAUACAAUGGAUGUUAAGUUAUUAAUUUAAUAAAAAUAUAUCAUAGAGUCAUUUCAAUAUUUCAGAUAAAUAAUAUGAGUUGUUUAUUAGCCUAAUUCGUGGUUAUCCACACAUAUUAUACGAUAGGUAAAUCCAAUAAACAUUUAAAGACCAGGAAAUGAAACAAAAUAGUUGGAAAUCCCACGGCAUGCUGCACCAAAGAGCAUACUUUCGUUUAUUUCCUAAUCCAUGUAACACACAAAACAGAUAAAUAUUAUAAUAAAUAAUAGUAUAAGUAUAAAUAAAUAAACACAAAGUUUGUUUACUGUUCCUAUAAUUUAUAGGCUAUGUUGUUGAAUUAGAAUUAAGUCAUUGUUUACUCUUUCUACUCAUGCGCAAAAAUUCCGCUACGUCGAUCUAUAAAUUGACAUAACAUUUUCUUCCGUCUCCAGUCCGUUUCUUACGUCUACGUUGCGUCUACGUCUACGCUACGUCAAACUAUAAAUCCAACUUAUGUUGUGAGCCAAAUAUCCGAAUCUAAUUAAAUGACAUACUUGACAUUGACAUUUGUACAUUGGUAGAUGACCUUGACUUGACACAAUGUCAUAUCCAAUAUGGCGAUGAGCAGGUUUUUAUGUUUUAUUAUGGAAUAUUAUGUUAUUAAUUAACUAUUAAAAUUAUUAAUUAUUCAUAUAUUUAUAUAAUACAAUAUAAUUUUAUAAUUAUGUAUUUUAUAUGGAACAGAAUAUACCUACUACAAAAGAGUUGUUCCGCCAUAUUGGAUAGUGCGUUUUUGUCAGUGGAAUCGAGCCCAUGCUCAUUUACUUAACCGUAUGUCAUAUCCCCUCUCUCACAUAUCACUGUAGAUGACAAAUAAUGGCAAUGACAAGAAAACUAGUAUGUUGUAAGGUUAAUAGAAAUCUAUUUAUUGAAAUAAAAAGCAUAACAAAUAAUACCUUAAAUUAUCCAAAAAAUUGUUCAAUCCGAAAAUUAUCCGAUGGUCCAUGAAAUUAUCCGAAAAUCGGAUAAUUAUCCGGACAUUGGCAACACUGCACUUAACUCUCUUUAGAUGUUUCACGCAGGUAUCUCAAGGUCAUCCUAAACUAAAUGUCAUUUUUAAAUGAUACGUUUUCUAGGGAGAGAUUAAAAAUAUCCAGCACGCAACCGCGCUGUUGCCAGAUUUACAUAGCGGGAAUUUUAAAAUUUCUAAUGCGAAUUGGUUUAAAAUUUGACAUCCGAAUCUUAACCUUACUUUUGUGAUUAUUUAUUUACAAAUGUAAAUAAAUUAAAACAAGUAUUGUAUGUACUGUGUUAUAAUUUAAAACGCUUAAUUAUGUUAGUCCUAAAAAAAUUAAGCCCAAAAGAGAUAUACUUGUUUACAGUGCAAAUUAAUGGCAAUAGGGAUUUACGAUUUCAUUUGCAGGAAAAACAUGGGCAACCUACCCAGUUGGUAAAAUUUCAAUUCAAAAACUCUUUAGAUUUUACUGUGUGGAUGGCACAGGAAGAGAAACAAAAUAAUAUUCAGUACUGCAGUCACAGGAGUACAAAAACAUGAAGCAUCUUAUUAUGUAUGUAUGCCAUUCUCAAACAAUAAUUAUUGUACAAAACAAGAUAAAGAUAGAGACACAGCUUUAAAAUCCCAAGGAUCCUGCGAAAAGAAAAGUGAAAAUGUUGUCUCAAUUAAUGUAGUAUAGAUAGACAUUUUUCUUUAUUUUAGUAUUAAAUAAUUAUUUAGAAUAUUAAUAUGUAUUAGUUUUAAUAGUAUUAAUAUGUAUUGUAUGAAUAAUUCCCAUCAUGUAUCUGCUAGCUAAAGCAACAAAAUAAAUCAAAAUGAAAAAACAUUUCAGUGACGUAGCACCUUUACUUUACCUGGCGGCGAGGUGAGUUAUUAGGUAAAUUCUAUUUUCUUACAUAAUAUACUUAAAAAUUAAUGGUGGUAUUAUUGUGGUUUAUAUUGAAAGCCAAAGCAAUUAAAAUAAUUUUUUGUGUUAAUUAUUUAACACAUUCACAGACACGACUGCAUAUGAAGUCAUUUGCUCCAUAAGAAGACGUGGCUACAGGCAAAGCGUGUCCGUAAAUGUGUUAAUAAUAAUAAUUUUACAUCUAUUGUGUUACACAUACAUUUUACUAUUAAAGACAAUUAUGAAAAUGUCAAAAACGCCCACAAAGUGGCUUUAAGUUUUAUUACACAGUAUGUGGACUUCAAAUAGGACGAUUAUGUUAAGUAUGAGCAGAACAAAGACUAACAAUUAAUGUUUUAUUGUCAUAGGUUGUCUUUUUUCAUUAUAUUUAAUGCAGCUUU
Molecule: long non-coding RNA, 2455 nt
Filed under: Diabrotica virgifera virgifera (western corn rootworm)
Lineage: Eukaryota; Metazoa; Arthropoda; Insecta; Coleoptera; Chrysomelidae
Description: uncharacterized LOC126884375
Source: RNAcentral